GUACCAGCUUCACCAGCAUAUAUACUAAACAUGGAACAACGCAGAAAAGUUCAGCAAUUUCCUUUGUAAGAAUGGCACCUAAAUUUGUGAAGUAUUAAAUGAUGUU
RNAcentral lists this small nuclear RNA (106 nucleotides) under Erinaceus europaeus (western European hedgehog). The record is from RNAcentral. Lineage: Eukaryota; Metazoa; Chordata; Mammalia; Eulipotyphla; Erinaceidae.